This is a non-coding RNA of Callithrix jacchus (white-tufted-ear marmoset), 802 nucleotides long. The record is from RefSeq and is a predicted model, not a curated record. Lineage: Eukaryota; Metazoa; Chordata; Mammalia; Primates; Cebidae.
UUGGGGGGAGAGUAAAAGGGGAGAGGAAAGAAAUGUAUUUUUCAUCAGCCAGUGUAUAAUUUAUAAACAGCAUUAAACAGUUUUUGUUUUCUUUCUCCUCUCUCCCGUGUACGGGCUUGGACGGUAGUCAAGCCUGCAUUAAUUUCUGCUUUGGGUACAGUGUGUUCUUGGAGACGCAUCUGCAAGCGAUCAUAAACGCGCUGGAAUGCUGGCAGAACAUCCAGACCUGCCGGCAGGCCAGUGACGACACCACUCUGGGAAAAAGUUCGGGAAGGAAGCCAAAUUCAGAGUAGGGAGAGAGAGAAAGAGAAGUGUGUUCAAGAGCGAGCUGGAGGAAAGCGGCUCCCUUCACCCUUUCCUCUCUCUGCAUCUACAUCACCCAUGCGGACUGAAGGGAGGGCAGCCUGGCCUCUGAGCCACCCCCAUCUAAUCUUCUCCAUUUCCUUGACCUGAAAACCAAAGGUGCCCCGCAUAAGGCAUGUGGACAGAGUGGAGAAACCUGAGCAAAGUUUCUUCCUGGUGACCUCCCGGGUUUGCCCUGAUGAGGAAAGCAGAAGAGAUCCAAUCUGGUGGACCCCUCCAGCCCUUUUCCCUGCCAGAAGGAUGACCGAGGUCCCAGGCUGAUUCCAUCUGAUAGGGAAAUGAGGAGGAGAGGAGGAAGACAGCGAGAGAGAGGAGGAAAAACGGCAAAGGAAGAACAAGCUGGAGUGCUGUCGCCCUUUCAGAAAUGACAUCUCCGCCGAAUUUAAUGCAGCCUAUUCUCGAGCAUCGGAGAAACGCUUUUCUUGCCUCCUCCUUCACC